GACGAACGCUGGCGGCGUGCCUAAUACAUGCAAGUCGAGCGAAGUUUUGCUGGUGCUUGCACUAGAAAAACUUAGCGGCGAACGGGUGAGUAACACGUAAAGAACCUGCCUCAUAGACUGGGACAACUAUUGGAAACGAUAGCUAAUACCGGAUAACAGUAUUUCUCGCAUGAGAGAUAUUUAAAAGUUGGUUAUGCUAACACUAUGAGAUGGCUUUGCGGUGCAUUAGCUAGUUGGUGGGGUAAAGGCCUACCAAGGCGACGAUGCAUAGCCGACCUGAGAGGGUGAUCGGCCACACUGGGACUGAGACACGGCCCAGACUCCUACGGGAGGCAGCAGUAGGGAAUCUUCCGCAAUGGGCGAAAGCCUGACGGAGCAACGCCGCGUGAGUGAAGAAGGAUUUCGGUUCGUAAAGCUCUGUUGUUAGGGAAGAAUGGAUAUUAGUAACUAUACAUGUAAGA
This 461-nucleotide ribosomal RNA is filed under the name Gemella morbillorum. RNAcentral's name for it is "bacterial SSU rRNA". It matches the Rfam family "Bacterial small subunit ribosomal RNA", at positions 28 to 472 of the family's 1533-position model. The record is from RNAcentral. Lineage: Bacteria; Bacillati; Bacillota; Bacilli; Caryophanales; Gemellaceae.